This 1563-nucleotide long non-coding RNA is filed under the name Medicago truncatula (barrel medic). RNAcentral's name for it is "lncRNA gene7445". The record is from RNAcentral. Lineage: Eukaryota; Viridiplantae; Streptophyta; Magnoliopsida; Fabales; Fabaceae.
UUUCCCCUUCUUCCACCUUUUCAAUCGGCCUCCUCUUCUCACCCUCACCCACUCAAUUUUUCAUAAAUUUUUUUUAGAAAUCAUGUAUAUGUGCUUCUAGGAGUGGGAUAAGCAAGAAACAAACUUCAAAUUUCUUCCUCCCUUUAUGUUUAGUCUCAACAGCCCCUUCCUCCAUGAUGUCUUCAAUCUCACUGUAAUCUCAUGGAAAAUAACUUAUAAGCUUGCCUUAGAGCAUUAAAGAAUGGAUCAAUCAUAAGGUGAAUGGUAUGAUCACCUUUUCAUGGAAAUUUAUUUAGUGUAAGCUUUGUUGUAUGUUGAAUGUGUAAUUGAAGAUGAUUAUGUGUAGUAAAGGUAUUUAGAAACAUGGUGUGAAGAAUGAUUAUAAGCUAGGAGCAUUGGUGUGAGAAUUUAGGACUUAAAACGUGUAAGUUGUUUCUAUAACUAUUACAAGUGAUUAUUAAGCAUAACAUGAUGAAAUUUCGUAGAAAUGGGUUAGGAGAUAUGUAUACAUGUUUUCUUUGAUUCUGGAAAAUUAGAAUAGAAAUUGAAUUGUUUAGAGGGCAUAAGCUGUCAGUUAAGUUGUUUUGAGCAAAAUGUCUUAAAUGACUAAGUUGUGGUUUAAGCUGCUGUAUAAGUGGUUCGUGGCUCUGAGUAUAUAUGUUGGAACAUCUUUGUUAAAGGCUGGGUCGAAACUAAUUUGAUAGAAGCCAUAAGCUGCUAAUUAAGCUUUUUGGAAGUGCUUAAAUAGUCAAACGGCGUACUUCUGGUGCAAGGACUGAAAUGGAAAUUUUCGUGUAUGCUGGUUGAUGAAGUGAGAGUACGUUACAGAUGAGUUUUGUUUUGGGAAGAGCAAGAUCUAUAAGCCAAGACAUAAGCUAUUUUGGAAAAUGGAUUAUGGAUUUUUGGAGCUAGCAAAAGCUGCAAAUUGUGGAUAAGCUGCUUGAAAUUUCGGGACUAAUGCCAAGCAUCUUCUACGCAAUAUUACAAGUGUUUUGGCUUCACAGAUAGCAAAAUCAUCAAUACAGCUAUCCCUACAAGGACUCUUAGCACAUAACCAUUUGAAGAUCAGGUCCAAUAUUUGUACUCUGUCACUCACCUUAUAUACAAACAACCCUCUUUUCUUCCUCCUCUCGUCCGGCACAGAACUCAUAUUUUCAACAUUUUUGCUAGAUGUAGCAUGCUUUCGGAAAAAUGAUGGAUUAUGCUCCAUCAAUUUUAUGAUGGACAAGAUUUGUCCAUGACAGCUGUACAACUUAAUAUUUUUACUAUAUAGAGGUAUAUAUCAUUAAAUUCUUGAGAGUCAUGCUUCAUUCCAUCAUAUGUAUUCUAGCCUUGCAAGCUUGUGACAGUGACACUGUUAUUCGAGUCGUUAUUUUGUUGACCUGAGUCUGCUCUAUGCUCAGUCUGACUUAGAAGGAAUGCAGGUUGAGAUGGAUGAGGAAGUUUAACAAUCUCACUAUUAAGCAUUGAAACAACUGUGGCCAUAGUAGGUCUCUCCUUUGCAAUUUCUUGCACACAAAGAAGUCCAAUGUGUAUGCAUCUCAAAAUGUUACCCACAUAAUC